Molecule: ribosomal RNA, 422 nt
Filed under: uncultured bacterium
Lineage: Bacteria
Description: partial 16S ribosomal RNA
Rfam family: Bacterial small subunit ribosomal RNA
Source: RNAcentral
GAAUAUUGGACAAUGGGGGCAACCCUGAUCCAGCCAUGCCGCGUGUGUGAAGAAGGACUUUUGGUUGUAAAGCACUUUAAGCAGUGAAGAAGACUCCAUGGCUAAUAACCAUUGACGAUGACAUUAGCUGCAGAAUAAGCAACGGCUACAUAUGUGCCAGCAGCCGCGGUAAUACAGAGGGUGCAAGCGUUAAUCGGAAUUACUGGGCGUAAAGCGAGCGUAGGUGGCUUGAUAAGUCAGAUGUGAAAUCCCCGGGCUUAACCUGGGAACUGCAUCUGAUACUGUUAGGCUAGAAUAGGUGAGAGGAAGGUAGAAUUCCAGGUGUAGCGGUGAAAUGCGUAGAGAUCUGGAGGAAUACCGAUGGCGAAGGCAGCCUUCUGGCAUCAUAUUGACACUGAGGUUCGAAAGCGUGGGUAGCAAAC